GAUGAACGCUAGCUACAGGCUUAACACAUGCAAGUCGAGGGGAAACGAUAGAGAAAGCUUGCUUUUUCUAGGCGUCGACCGGCGCACGGGUGAGUAACGCGUAUCCAACCCGCCCAUCACUUGUGGAUAACCGUGCGAAAGUAAGACUAAUACCCAAUGAUAUCUCUAGAAGACAUCUGAAAGGGAUUAAAGAUUUAUCGGUGAUGGAUGGGGAUGCGUCUGAUUAGCUUGUUGGCGGGGUAACGGCCCACCAAGGCGACGAUCAGUAGGGGUUCAUAGAGUAAGGUCCCCCACAUUGAAACUGAGACACGGUCCAGACUCCGACGGGAGACAGCAGUGCGGAAUGUUGGUAAAUGGGCGAGAGCCUGAACCAGCCAAGUAUCGUGCAGGGAGACGGACGUAUGGGUUGUAAACUGCUUUUAUACGGGGAUAAAGUGGGUCACGUGUGGCUUAUUGCAGGUACCGUAUGAAUAAGGACCGGCUAAUUCCGUGCCAGCGGACGCAGUAA
RNAcentral lists this ribosomal RNA (508 nucleotides) under uncultured bacterium. Its description in RNAcentral is "partial 16S ribosomal RNA". It matches the Rfam family "Bacterial small subunit ribosomal RNA", at positions 28 to 523 of the family's 1533-position model. The record is from RNAcentral.